RNAcentral lists this non-coding RNA (719 nucleotides) under Ancyrocephalus mogurndae. Lineage: Eukaryota; Metazoa; Platyhelminthes; Monogenea; Dactylogyridea; Ancyrocephalidae. The record is from RNAcentral.
AAUUGUUUAAUUAUGGCAAUAGAAAGGAUUAUAGGGUAAACUGCAUAGAGUUAUUAUGUAUAGGGUAAUGUAUAGGCCAAGGUAGCAGGUUUGUUCUAGCAGUGAGUACUCUCAACUCCACGAAAGUGGGAUAGGGUACCCAUCAAAAGGGGGAUAAGGCACAGUGCCAGCAUCCGCGGUUAAUCUGUUUCCUCUCCUUUCUUUAUAGCAGAUUUUUUUAAGUGAAGUAAGAUUCUAGGUGUGAAAACCACAGAGUUUUGAUUGUCAUUGCUUUAAAAAAGAUAUAAUUCCGAUUAACGACGCAGAUUAGAGACCUGCUUAGUAGGUAAAAUAGAAGAGUUUUAGUUAAACUAAAAUUAUUUGGCAGCCAACUACUCCUGACAGGGGAUGGUGUCCCAAAAAAGAUGCUCCGCUUACUAAUUCAUCCCAACCAUUUAGUUGGUGUACAUCCGAUUGAAGAUCAGCAGUCAAAGCUUGUUGGUGAAUUCCUCAUGAUUAAGUUAGGUCAAUGUGCUACUAGUGUUGGGGUAAAGGGUGCCAUACUAUUAAAAGAGGUGUAAGUUAAUAGAUUCGGGACUUGUUAGUAAAACACAAUAAACUAUGUGUGUUUGAAGAAGGUGGAGUUGGGGUACACACCGCCCGUCAAUCUCGGUUUUUCUGAGGUAAGUCGUAACAGGGUAGCCCCAGGGGAACCUAGGGCUAGUAGCUCAAUAAGCUUG